Molecule: ribosomal RNA, 261 nt
Filed under: uncultured bacterium
Lineage: Bacteria
Description: partial 16S ribosomal RNA
Rfam family: Bacterial small subunit ribosomal RNA
Source: RNAcentral
GUCCACGCCGUAAACGUUGGGCACUAGGUGUGGGUCUCAACCAACGAGAUCCGCGCCGUCGCUAACGCAUUAAGUGCCCCGCCUGGGGAGUACGAUCGCAAGAUUAAAACUCAAAGGAAUUGACGGGGCCCACACAAGCAGCGGAGCGUGUUGCUUAAUUCGAUGCAACGCGAAGAACCUUACCUGUGCUUGACAUGUACGGAAAAGCCGUAGAGAUACGGUGUCCUUCGGGGCCGUACACAGGUGGUGCAUGGCUGUCGU